RNAcentral lists this microRNA (22 nucleotides) under Dasypus novemcinctus (nine-banded armadillo). RNAcentral's name for it is "dno-miR-194-3p". Its record names the gene dno-miR-194-3p. RNAcentral also lists the same sequence under 1 other name. The record is from miRBase by way of RNAcentral. Lineage: Eukaryota; Metazoa; Chordata; Mammalia; Cingulata; Dasypodidae.
CCAGUGGGGCUGCUGUUAUCCG